This 647-nucleotide small RNA is filed under the name Histoplasma capsulatum. RNAcentral's name for it is "hypothetical RNA". RNAcentral also lists the same sequence under 1 other name. Lineage: Eukaryota; Fungi; Ascomycota; Eurotiomycetes; Onygenales; Ajellomycetaceae. The record is from RNAcentral.
CAAUCAGCUUGCCAAAUUCCGCCACGCACUCCCACGAUGCAUGGAGGAGUUCUCCAGAAAGCGAAUUGAGGACAACAUCGACCCCUCUGCCGUUAGUUUCUUGGAGCAGGCUGUUACGGAACGAUGAAUCGUGGGAGGAGAAGAUGUGAGCCCUUGGGAUCCCAAAAGCUGCUACCAGAUGUUCAACCUUUUCUUGACUUCCAACGGUAGCAUAGACUUCUGCACCUAUCAUUUGGCUGAGCUGGAUCGCCGCAAUGCCGACUCCACCACAGGCAGAAUGGAUAAGAAUAGACUUCAGAGGUAAAGUCAGCAGGUUUAUUGAAUGGUUCAGUGUACGAAUGGUCACAAUCUUACCUGGCCCUUCUCCAAGCGUGCUACAUGAAUCAAAGAGUAAAUCACAGUCCCAUAGACGCAGGGCAUCGUCGCCGCAUCCUCAAAGCUCAGGCCAUCAGGGAGUUUGACACAGUACUCAGGGCGAACUCUGACAGUUGUGGCAAAACACUCCCCAGGAAAUGCUGCAACGCGGUCGCCAAUACAGAAGGUUUUAACAUUUCUACCAACGUGUUUCACCACGCCAGUAAUUUCGCCUCCCCGACCUUUGGCAUACGGUUCAAUGAUACCAAGGGCAAGUAUUACGUGCUAAACGG